GCCGUGACAAGGGGAUGGGCGACCCCGCGAUGCUGGAACCAUCGUGUCCUGAGAUAUGGCUUGCAGGUUCGACUCCUGCUCUCGGCG
RNAcentral lists this transfer RNA (87 nucleotides) under Halogranum tailed virus 1. Its description in RNAcentral is "Halovirus HGTV-1 tRNA-Ser". The record is from RNAcentral. Lineage: Duplodnaviria; Heunggongvirae; Uroviricota; Caudoviricetes; Thumleimavirales; Halomagnusviridae.